AGGGGGGGUACCAGGGAUUAAAUUCAGGGGCACUGGACCACUGAGCCACAUGCCCAGCCCUAUUUUGUAUUUUAUUUAGAGACAGGUCACACUGAAUUGCUUAGCACCUCAUGCCUUGAACUCUAGAUCUUCUUUUCUCACCACCCAGAGCCACUGGAAUUACAGGCAUGAUGAAGUCCUCUAUUUUUCUACAUUACUUUUAUCAUCAAUGUUAUGGAAACAUUAAUAACAAUGGUUGUUAUAAAUUGUUGGACAUUUAUUCCAUGACAACAAACCUAUAUAGAGAUUUCAGUUAUCUAAACCAGUGCUGUCCCAUGAAUGUUCUGUAAUAAUGGAAAUGUUUUAGAUCUAUGCUGUUUUGUAUAGUAACCUAUGGCCACUGGGCCUUGAAAUGUGCCAAGUAUUGAAAUCUUGAUUUAAUUAUUUUUAAUUGAUUUAAAUUUAUGUACUCAUAUGUAACUUGUGGGUGUGUUUUGAAUAGCACAGAACCAGAUGUUGAGAAUAACCUUAAUCACUAAAAAAUUUAAUUGAACAGACUCAAGACUAAUAUAAAUUGGUCAACUCUGUUACAUGGUUCCCCUGGGAAAAUUACUUAAAGUGUUUUCAGUCUAAACUUUCUGAUUUAAAAUGUUAUAGUAGCUCUUUCCUGUAUGGUAGGCAUAUAUGUUGCAAUAAUAAAUAUAAUAUCAUUUGUAAGUUAUUUGUAUAGUAGGAACAUACAUUGCAAUAAUAAAUGUGAAAAUAUUUUUAAACUAUUUGUAAGGAAAGUGC
Molecule: long non-coding RNA, 771 nt
Filed under: Marmota monax (woodchuck)
Lineage: Eukaryota; Metazoa; Chordata; Mammalia; Rodentia; Sciuridae
Source: RNAcentral